GCCUUCGUGGUGUAGUGGUCAGCCCGCUCGUCGAGUAACCGAGAGGUCCGUGGUUCGAUUCCCGGCGAAGGCG
This 73-nucleotide transfer RNA is filed under the name Stegodyphus mimosarum. It matches the Rfam family "tRNA". Rfam says of the family: Transfer RNA (tRNA) molecules are approximately 80 nucleotides in length. Their secondary structure includes four short double-helical elements and three loops (D, anti-codon, and T loops). Lineage: Eukaryota; Metazoa; Arthropoda; Arachnida; Araneae; Eresidae. The record is from Rfam by way of RNAcentral.